This 493-nucleotide ribosomal RNA is filed under the name uncultured bacterium. RNAcentral's name for it is "partial 16S ribosomal RNA". It matches the Rfam family "Bacterial small subunit ribosomal RNA", at positions 29 to 523 of the family's 1533-position model. The record is from RNAcentral.
AUUGAACGCUGGCGGCAUGCUUUACGCAUGCAAGUCGAAAGGUAACAGGUUAAGCUGUCGAGUGGCGAACGGGUGAGUAAUGCCUCGGAACGUGCCCGAUCGAGGGGGAUAACGCAGCGAAAGCUCCGCUAAUACCGCAUACGAUCUGAGGAUGAACGCGGGGGCGCGUAAGGCCUCGCGCUAUCGGGGCGGCUGAUGUCGGAUUAGGUGGUUGGUGGGGUAAAGGCGGACCACGCCAACGAUCUGUAGCUGGUCUGAGAGGACGACCAGCCACACUGGGACUGAGACACGGCCCAGACCCCGACGGGAGGCAGCAGUGGGGAAUUUUGGACAAGGGGCGAAAGCCUGAUCCAGCAAUGCCGCGUGCAGGAAGAAGGCCUUCGGGUUGUAACCUGCUUUUGUACGGAGCGAAAAGGUCUCCUCUAAUACAGGGGGCUCAUGACGGUACCGUAAGAAUAAGCACCGGCUAACUACGUGCCAGCCGCCGCUGUAA